Molecule: long non-coding RNA, 98 nt
Organism: Gavialis gangeticus (Gharial)
Lineage: Eukaryota; Metazoa; Chordata; Crocodylia; Gavialidae
Exons: 4
Source: RefSeq, a predicted model, not a curated record
GGAAAAGUUACAAUAUUGUUUUGAACUGAUGAUGCUGAAACCUCUCCAUCAUAUAGAAACAUUUGGCUAGGGUAAUGUUGUUAUGAUUAAUUUCAUUU